Erpetoichthys calabaricus (reedfish) is the source of this 1173-nucleotide long non-coding RNA. RefSeq lists it as uncharacterized. The transcript has 2 exons. The record is from RefSeq and is a predicted model, not a curated record. Lineage: Eukaryota; Metazoa; Chordata; Cladistia; Polypteriformes; Polypteridae.
CGGCACUGAGUGGGCACUUUAUGCACAAUUAUGCUGCUGUUCAUACUAAACUCCUUUGGUUUACCAAGGGGGGGCUGCAUUGUUGUUCCCUGAGGUCUUAUCUGCUCCGAAAUAUCCAGUCAGGGUCUGGAUAGGCAGAUCAUGAGGGUUACCCCACCUUGAACCCGUUAGUCCCAGUCUGUCACUGGAGGAAGGAUCUGGCCGCCGUGUCUGAAGGGGUCCUGACAAGGGGGUCCAGUGAAAUUAGUUUUUUUUUUUUUUCGCCUCUCAGGACCAUUGAUUGUGAUAUUUGGUGCAAUUUGUUUCAGAAGUUAAAAAGAAACCAACAGGAAACGAUUCCCAUUCCAGGAUGUUUGACGGGCAGACGACAGUCGAGGGUAGCCGCCUGUUCCUGGCAACUCCGCCACAUCCAGACACCCGCUACUUUAACAUUCGGUUUCGUGAAGAACGGACUGUGAAUUGAGUCCCCCACAAACCCCCCCCCCCCACCCGCAACCCGUGAGGACUGCAGUGAAGCUUUUCCUAUGCACAUUCUCUAGAGGCAUUGCAAUAUGAUUAUAAUGUUAUUGUUAUAUAUUGAAGUUAUAUAUUUUAAAGAAAAAAAAAACAAGAAUCUACUGUAGGAGAGGUACUGGUUUAUAGUUCUGUAUGUUCUGGUGAGUUUAAAUGUUACGAGGUAAACUUAGACGUGUGUUUCUUUUUCUUAUUCUAUUUAUGGAUGCUGUGAUUGGUUACUGAGCUCCACCGUUUGAUUUUUUUAUUUAUCUUUUCAUUUUAAUCCUUUUCCACGAAUUGCUUUUGCUUGGGUUUGUCCCGCACAAGGACUUUCCAUUGGAACAUAAGGACAUCGGCUCCCCCUGCUGGCAUCCCCUUGAAGCUGCAGAGCUACAGCUUUGAAGAGCUCCUCCCAUGAAUGCUAAUUAGCGACGUGCCCUGACCCGAGAUGACUCCGCCCACCCACAAAGGAGCCUCCCCUGGCCCGGACUCCACCCCUCAACGACUUCUCUUCUUUCUUUCAUCCCAUGUUAGUCCUCUGUGACACUCUUUAUCACUUUCCGUGUUUUCAGCCUAGGAUUCCAUUUUUCUUUUUCCCUUUUUCUUUGCCGAAUCUAAAUAAAGUGGUUCUACUGUGAUUGUUCACAUUUAAUAAACAUGCACAUUUUGUAAAAUAUC